Molecule: ribosomal RNA, 497 nt
Filed under: uncultured bacterium
Lineage: Bacteria
Description: partial 16S ribosomal RNA
Rfam family: Bacterial small subunit ribosomal RNA
Source: RNAcentral
GAUGAACGCUGGCGGCGUGCCUAAUACAUGCAAGUCGAGCGAACAGACGAGGAGCUUGCUCCUCUGACGUUAGCGGCGGACGUGUGAGUAACACGUGGAUAACCUACCUAUAAGACUGGGAUAACUUCGGGAAACCGGAGCUAAUACCGGAUAAUAUAUUGAACCGCAUGGUUCAAUAGUUAAAGACGGUUUUGCUGUCACUUAUAGAUGGAUCCGCGCCGCAUUAGCUAGUUGGUAAGGUAACGGCUUACCAAGGCAACGAUGCGUAGCCGACCUGAGAGGGGGAUCGGCCACACUGGAAGGGAGACACGGUCCAGAGUACUACGGGAGGAAGCAGUAGGGAAUAUUCCGCAAUGGGCGAAAGCAUGACGGAGCAACGCCGCGUGAGAGAUGAAGGUCUUCGGAUCGUAAAACUCUGUUAUUAGGGAAGAAAAAAUGUGUAAGUAACUAUGCACGUAUUGACGGUACCUAAUCAGAAAGCAACGGCUAACUACGUG